Molecule: ribosomal RNA, 492 nt
Filed under: uncultured bacterium
Lineage: Bacteria
Description: partial 16S ribosomal RNA
Rfam family: Bacterial small subunit ribosomal RNA
Source: RNAcentral
AGUGAACGCUGGCGGUAGGCCUAACACAUGCAAGUCGAACGGCAGCACAGUAAGAGCUUGCUCUUACGGGUGGCGAGUGGCGGACGGGUGAGGAAUACAUCGGAAUCUACUUUUUCGUGGGGGAUAACGUAGGGAAACUUACGCUAAUACCGCAUACGACCUACGGGUGAAAGCAGGGGAUCUUCGGACCUUGCGCGAUUGAAUGAGCCGAUGUCGGAUUAGCUCGUUGGCGGGGUAAAGGCCCACCAAGGCGACGAUCCGUAGCUGGUCUGAGAGGAUGAUCAGACACACGGGAACUGAGACACGGUCCAGACUCCUACGGGAGGCAGCAGUGGGGAAUAUUGGACAAGGGGCGCAAGCCUGAUCCAGCCAUACCGCGUGGGGGAAGAAGGCCUUCGGGUUGUAGAGCCCUUUUGUUGGGAAAGAAAAACAGCAGGUUAAUACCCCGCUGUUCUGACGGUACCCAAAGAAUAAGCACCGGCUAACUCCGUG